Molecule: long non-coding RNA, 303 nt
Organism: Schistocerca piceifrons (Central American locust)
Lineage: Eukaryota; Metazoa; Arthropoda; Insecta; Orthoptera; Acrididae
Exons: 3
Source: RefSeq, a predicted model, not a curated record
UCUAGCUGUUGUAGCUUUGGUUUUCUUGUGGCAAGGGGGAAUAUGAAAACUUUGAGAUAGUUGUGUAAGUUAUGGGUUCGAAAAACAAAUUUCUGCGAUAUGGACUACCAUUUGUGACGAUGGUUGUGGUUGGAUCAUUUGGUUUAAAAGAAUUUUCCGAGGUACAAAUUCAGGAAGUUCAUGCCCCUAAAACCUGAAGAAGUCGAAAAGGCUAACAUAAAAAUGAAGAAACCUGGCGAAGUGACUUUAGAAAGCGAAUACGAAAAAUUGAAGCAGAUUGACAUUGAUAACUGGCAAAGCAUA